GAACCUUACCAGGGCUUGACAUGCACGGUGCACCUCUAGAGAUAGAGGGUCCUUUGGGGUCGUGCACAGGUGGUGCAUGGUUGUCGUCAGCUCGUGUCGUGAGAUGUUGGGUUAAGUCCCGCAACGAGCGCCGUCCUGUAUUGCCAGCAGCAUCUUCGGAUGGCUGGGGACUUGCGGGAGACUGCCGGGGUCAACUCGGAGGAAGGUGGGGACGACGUCAAAUCAUCAUGCCCCUUAUGUCCUGGGCUGCACGCAUGCUACAAUGGCCGGUACAGAGGGCUGCGAUACCGUGAGGUGGAGCGAAUCCCGUAAGGCCGGUCUCAGUUCGGAUCGGGGUCUGCAACUCGACCCCGUGAAGUCGGAGUCGCUAGUAAUCGCAGAUCAGCAACGCUGCGGUGAAUACGUUCCCGGGCCUUGUCACACCGA
Molecule: ribosomal RNA, 426 nt
Filed under: uncultured soil bacterium
Lineage: Bacteria
Description: bacterial SSU rRNA
Rfam family: Bacterial small subunit ribosomal RNA
Source: RNAcentral